This 657-nucleotide ribosomal RNA is filed under the name uncultured bacterium. RNAcentral's name for it is "bacterial SSU rRNA". It matches the Rfam family "Bacterial small subunit ribosomal RNA", at positions 56 to 688 of the family's 1533-position model. The record is from RNAcentral.
UGCAAGUCGAACGAGAACAGAGUAGCUUGCUAUUCUAAGUAAAGUGGCGCACGGGUGAGUAACGCGUGGAUAAUCUACCCCUGAAUUGGGAAUAACAUGGCGAAAGUCGUGCUAAUACCGAAUAAUAUCAUGAUGACUUCGGUUUUUAUGAUCAAAGAUAGCCUCUGUAUAUGCUAUUGUUUGGGGAUGAGUCCGCGUGUCAUUAGCUAGUUGGUAAGGUAACGGCUUACCAAGGCAACGAUGACUAGCUGGUCUGAGAGGAUGAUCAGCCACACUGGAACUGAGACACGGUCCAGACUCCUACGGGAGGCAGCAGUGAGGAAUUUUGCGCAAUGGGGGCAACCCUGACGCAGCAACGCCGCGUGAGUGAAGAAGGCUUUAGGGUCGUAAAGCUCUGUCGAAUGGGAAGAAUGAGUAUGCAAUGAAUAAGUGUAUACAGUGACGGUACCAUUAGAGGAAGCACCGGCUAACUCCGUGCCAGCAGCCGCGGUAAUACGGGGGGUGCAAGCGUUAUUCGGAAUCAUUGGGCGUAAAGAGCGCGUAGGCGGACAUAUAAGUCAGCUGUGAAAGCCCGGGGCUUAACCCCGGAAGUGCAGUUGAUACUGUAUGUCUGAAUAUGGGAGAGGAAAGUGGAAUUCCUGGUGUAGCGGUGAAAUG